Molecule: long non-coding RNA, 2490 nt
Organism: Rhinopithecus roxellana (golden snub-nosed monkey)
Lineage: Eukaryota; Metazoa; Chordata; Mammalia; Primates; Cercopithecidae
Exons: 2
Source: RefSeq, a predicted model, not a curated record
UGUUUUUGAUCAUUACAGAAGUGUGAUUUCUUAAUCAGCAGCUGUCAAACAUAGUGUUCCUGAAUUUAAAAGCUUGAACACUAAAUUAUAAAUUGGAGAGGUUGGAAUAAUACGGUCAUAUAUCUAGAAACACAAGUCUUUAGUAGCAAAAAAGAAAUUAGCAAGAGAAGAAACUGUUCGGUACUCUGAAUGGAAAAAGUUUUCAUUGAUAGAAGUUUUUUUAGAUGAAAAUUAACAUGAUAAAGAAGUGACAGGCCAGGUGUGGUGGUUCACGCUUUUAACACCAACAAUUUGGGAGGCCAAGAUGGGAGGAUCUCUUGAGCCCAGGAAUUCAAGACUAGCCUGGGCAACAAGGCAAAACUCAUCUCUACUGAAAAUUUUAAAAAUCAGCUGGACAGGGUGGCACCUGUCUGUAGCCCCAGCUACUUGGGAAGCUGAGGUGGGAGGAUCACUUGAGCCCAGGAGGUUGAGGCUGCAGUGAGCCGUGAUCACACCACUGUAUUCCAGCCUGGGCAAGAGUGAGAUCCUGUUAAAGGGGGGGAGAAAAAAAAAAGGAAGGGACAAAUAUUAGAGUUUUUGCUAAAGCUUUUAAGUUGAUAAGAUGCAGAGAAUUGGGGGAAUGUAUAAUAAAUUCGAUUUCAUUUAUAUUAUUUACCACAUGAAUCACUUUCCUCCAAACAGUUGUCCUAAGAGCCAUGUGUUCACGUGUAAUGAGGACCAGUAUUUAACUGGGAACCGUGGGUGGCGUGGCAAAGGAGACAGUGUCCGUGACUGUGCCGCUCUCCGCAGCCCCGUCUGCUGUCCUGUUUCCUCGGCUCCUCGGUGUCUGGACUGGCGUUCUGGGUGUCCCAGCGGAAAACUAAAGGGCCAGAGAGGUGUAAACAUACACACCACUUGGCAGGUGAAGAUAUUAAAGCUAGAAAUUGGAACUAGAAAAUCAAAAGAAUUCAAGGUGUCUUAACAUGACAGUUGAACUCAUUUGAUUACACUUAAAAGUUUAUUGCAGUUAUUGAAUUUUUUUUUGAGUGCAGUGGUGCCAUUGAUGCUAACUGCAGCCUCAAUCUCCCAGGCUCAAGAAAUCCUCCCACCUCAGCUUCCAGAGUAGCUGGGACUACAGGUACAUGCCACGCCUUAUUUUAUUUUUUAUUUUUUCAAUAUAAACGAGGUCUUGCUAUGUCAUCCAGUCUGGUCUUGAACUCCAGUGAUCCUCCCACCUUAGCCUCUCAAAGUGCUGGAAUUACAGGCAUGAGUCACCAAACCCAGCCACCAAUUUUACUUUAGGUAAACUUUUAUUUUCAAGAAGCUUUUGUUGGUGUUGCAAGUGUAAAUCAUGACUGUUUUAUAAAAUGUUCUAUAAAUAUAACCACUAUUCUUUGUAAGCCAUUUAAAAUAAAUUUUAAAGUCUUUCACGUAAACACCAAUAUUGUGGUUUUGAUCCUCACUUACGAAGUCCCUAUUUGAGAACCUCCCUACUAAAAUUUAUUCGUAACCCCAAAAUCACCACAUGCAGUCAUUUUCAGACAUGCACAGAGCAGUGAGUGAGCCAAGCUGCCUGACACGCACGUUUCUGACAGAGGCUGGAGGGGAUGCCAUGCCUUGUUUCCUCUCCUACUGCAAACAGGUGUCCUUUCAUAGUCUCUUCAGUACCAUGUUCUUUGCAUUUCUGCACUUUUUGUUGGCGAUUUCACUAUUUAAAAUGGCCCCCAGGUGUAGCAAAAUAUUGUCUACUGCUUUAAAGGCAACAAGGCUGUGAUGUGCCUCAUGGACUCAGUGUCUGUUAGAUCAGCUUCACUCAGGCAUGAGUGAUGGUGGUGUUGGCUGUGAGUUCAAUGUUUUAUUAUGCCAGAGAAUCAGUAGGUCUUGUAGGUCCUGGAACCUAAGGCUGGGUUGUUGAAACCGCCACUCCAAAAGUACUUCAGUAAUAAGCUGUUCUUUUCCCAAUGCUAACGGGGAUGCUUAUUUUUAGGCAUAGAAAGAAAUCACUUGUUGCCAUCGUUUUGUCUGAAGGCAGUCCUCUGAUAGAUGGGCUUAGUUCAUUAUUUCCUCUAAGCAAACAUUCUUAAACAUUUCUCUUAUAGUGAAAAACUAAGACAAUUUGUUAUAAAUCUUUAGUACUGCUUUCUCCAGAGUUUUAAGAUUGGAACUUUUACUUACCUUAAAAUCACUUGGUUUGGUUUCCUUUAACUUUUUCAAAGCGUUAGAGAGUAAUUCCUGUUGAACAGAUUAUCUCCCUUGUAAAUACACUUUGAAAAUACCUCAGUAAAAGGAAUUUCUCAUGAUUUCUUAAAAUAAAAAAUAUAUCAGAUAACAGCUGAUAAAAAGAACUUUAAUGGAAGGCACUGUUGUCCAAAAUCACAUAAAGGGUAAGAGCCCAUAUGGUACCACCCUGCUCCUCCUACUUCUCAAACCCACAUCCACCACCCAGACAGGAGGGUGCAGAUCCCACAGGAAAUUACCUCCCAGAGCAGUGACUGAUGUUUUUCCUUAAAA